This 445-nucleotide ribosomal RNA is filed under the name uncultured bacterium. RNAcentral describes it as "bacterial SSU rRNA". It matches the Rfam family "Bacterial small subunit ribosomal RNA", at positions 354 to 796 of the family's 1533-position model. The record is from RNAcentral.
GUAAGGAAUAUUGGACAAUGGACGCAAGUCUGAUCCAGCCAUGCCGCGUGAAGGAUUAAGGUCCUCUGGAUUGUAAACUUCUUUUAUAAGGGACGAAAAAAGGCUUUUCUAAGUCGUCUGACGGUACCUUAUGAAUAAGCACCGGCUAACUCCGUGCCAGCAGCCGCGGUAAUACGGAGGGUGCAAGCGUUAUCCGGAUUCACUGGGUUUAAAGGGUGCGUAGGCGGGCAGGUAAGUCAGUGGUGAAAUCCUAGAGCUUAACUCUAGAACUGCCAUUGAUACUAUCUGUCUUGAAUAUUGUGGAGGUAAGCGGAAUAUGUCAUGUAGCGGUGAAAUGCUUAGAUAUGACAUAGAACACCUAUUGCGAAGGCAGCUUACUACGCAUAUAUUGACGCUGAGGCACGAAAGCGUGGGGAUCAAACAGGAUUAGAUACCCGUGUAGUCC